AGUGAACGCUGGCGGCAGGCCUAACACAUGCAAGUCGAGCGAACCUUUCGGGGUUAGUGGCGGCCGGGGGUGGCGCCCGAGGGAACGUGCCCUUAGGUUCGGACUACCUCAGGGACACUUGUGACUAUACCGAAUGUGCGCUUCGGGGGGAAGAUCUAUCGAAUCUAGAGGGGCCAGAGUCUGAUUAGCUAGUUGGUUGAGGUAAUGGCACACCAGGGCGACGAUCGGUAGCUGGUAUGAGAGGAUGAUACGAAACAUCGGGACUGAGGCACGGCCCAAACUCUUACGGGAGGCAGCAGUGGGUAAUCUAGCACAAUGGGCGAAAGGCUGACGCAGCCAGGCCGGUAGAAUGAUGAAGGUCGUAGGAUACAAAAAUUCUUUCAACGGUGACGAUAAUGACGGUACCCGGUGAAGAAGCCCCGGCUAACUUCGUG
RNAcentral lists this ribosomal RNA (434 nucleotides) under uncultured bacterium. RNAcentral's name for it is "partial 16S ribosomal RNA". It matches the Rfam family "Bacterial small subunit ribosomal RNA", at positions 29 to 507 of the family's 1533-position model. The record is from RNAcentral.